GCUUCCCUCACCACCUAGCAUAAUUGCUAUAACGUUAGCCACAGACAGUUAGCUUGGGUUAGCGUGUUAACAAAGCUUUUUCUGCCUGGGAGUUGCUGAGAAUGGUGUAGCCACCCAGGUGGAUCCUACCUUGUUGUAAGCGCAGUGUCUGAUCUGUGGCUGGGAGUCCAGGAGAGCAGCUCUGGGGAUGGAGGCUCUCUCUCUCUCAGUGUACUCCAGAAGCAGGCAAACCCUGACUGGCUCGAACAAAGCUCCUCAUCCCCAGAACAGGGGAGGAAUGUCCAGCAGGUCUGUGGUUCAGUGAGCCGACCGUCAUAUGUGUUUGACCACU
Long non-coding RNA from Acanthopagrus latus (yellowfin seabream), 331 nucleotides. RefSeq lists it as uncharacterized. The record is from RefSeq and is a predicted model, not a curated record. The transcript has 3 exons. Lineage: Eukaryota; Metazoa; Chordata; Actinopteri; Spariformes; Sparidae.